Molecule: ribosomal RNA, 365 nt
Filed under: uncultured eukaryote
Lineage: Eukaryota
Description: partial 18S ribosomal RNA
Rfam family: Eukaryotic small subunit ribosomal RNA
Source: RNAcentral
CAAUAGCGUAUAUUUAAGUUGUUGCAGUUCAAAAGCUCGUAGUCGGAUUUUGGCUGAGAACGAUCGGUCCGCCGUUAGGUGUGCACUGAUUGGUCUCAGCUUCCUGGUGAGGAGGUGUGCUUCACGGCCACUUAGUCACCGUGGUUACUUUGAAAAAAUUAGAGUGUUCAAAGCGGGCUUACGCUUGAAUAUAUUAGCAUGGAAUAACACCAUAGGACUCCUGUCCUAUUUCGUUGGUCUCGGGACGGGAGUAAUGAUUAAGAGGAACAGUUGGGGGCAUUCGUAUUUCAUUGUCAGAGGUGAAAUUCUUGGAUUUAUGAAAGACGAACUUCUGCGAAAGCAUUUGCCAAGGAUGUUUUCAUUGA